Molecule: ribosomal RNA, 334 nt
Filed under: Listeria monocytogenes
Lineage: Bacteria; Bacillati; Bacillota; Bacilli; Caryophanales; Listeriaceae
Also listed under: 1 other name
Description: bacterial SSU rRNA
Rfam family: Bacterial small subunit ribosomal RNA
Source: RNAcentral
GAAAGAUGGUUUCGGCUAUCGCUUACAGAUGGGCCCGCGGUGCAUUAGCUAGUUGGUAGGGUAAUGGCCUACCAAGGCAACGAUGCAUAGCCGACCUGAGAGGGUGAUCGGCCACACUGGGACUGAGACACGGCCCAGACUCCUACGGGAGGCAGCAGUAGGGAAUCUUCCGCAAUGGACGAAAGUCUGACGGAGCAACGCCGCGUGUAUGAAGAAGGUUUUCGGAUCGUAAAGUACUGUUGUUAGAGAAGAACAAGGAUAAGAGUAACUGCUUGUCCCUUGACGGUAUCUAACCAGAAAGCCACGGCUAACUACGUGCCAGCAGCCGCGGUAA